This is a long non-coding RNA of Lycium barbarum (goji berry), 618 nucleotides long. RefSeq lists it as uncharacterized. The record is from RefSeq and is a predicted model, not a curated record. NCBI's taxonomy places the organism in Eukaryota, Viridiplantae, Streptophyta, Magnoliopsida, Solanales, Solanaceae. The transcript has 2 exons.
AUAAUCAACUAAGACAAAAUAGCUUUCAAAAAGUAUUUUGUUGAAAAAACGACUUGAGACUUUUUCAAGCAUACUAAACACACAAAGUCUAUGAAUGAGCUAAAUUCCAUUCAUAUUUUCCCCACUGGUGACCCCUCUUUGGGACGAGACUUGCUAUAAAAAAUAAUCAUAUUGGAAGGCAAAGCAGAACAAGUUGCAAAAGGGAAAUAAAGAUGUUCAUAUACAAAGGCACAACUACUACAUGUGCUAUGUUAAUGGUGGUUUUCUUUGUACUGUGCAUGAAUUCUUGUUGUGAAUACGGUGAAGCAUCAAGAAUAUUCGUAGACUUCUCUCCAAGUACUCAAGUAACGCAAAGACUGGACGGCCUGGGAAGCAGCCACCGCCGGAGCACCAGGGUGUCGCCUGGUGGGAGCUAUCCUUCCCCGGCAGCGAAUGUGAAUGACCAUGUGCAUCACUAGUGCUUGUUUUCACAUUGUUGUUUCAUCCGUGUGACAAGAUCUAGUACCCAGUCUCUAUUUAGUUAUGCACUUCCCAUUACAAUAAGACUUUGUUUAAUAUUGUGUGUGUUUAUGACAUUUCAAAUAUGAAGCAAUGAAAGUAAAUUUAACUUGGCCCGUC